Molecule: ribosomal RNA, 328 nt
Filed under: Foraminifera environmental sample
Lineage: Eukaryota; Foraminifera
Description: partial small subunit ribosomal RNA
Source: RNAcentral
GGCCCUUAUUUCCUACAUAUUGAGGAUUGUAUUUAUUUGGCCGCGAAUUCAUCCCUUCGGUCACGUUCGUUGCCUUCAUAGAGUCGGGCCUGCGCGAUAUGUGCCCGCAGACAACAUACCUCACGAGCGAUCGACACUUUUUAUCUGAAACGCAAUUAAGCAGACAGAUCACUCCACGAACUAAGAACGGCCAUGCACCACCUAUCACACAAUCAUGAAAGGACUAGCAUAAUUUAUCGCCUGUCAAUCCUCAGUGUGUCCGGACCCGGCAAGUUUUCCCGCGUUGUCAAAUUAAGCCACAUGCUCCACGCGUUCUUGUGGUGCCCUU